This is a long non-coding RNA of Cyprinus carpio (common carp), 778 nucleotides long. The record is from Ensembl. NCBI's taxonomy places the organism in Eukaryota, Metazoa, Chordata, Actinopteri, Cypriniformes, Cyprinidae.
GUGUUGUCUGUAUAGACCUUUUUGGAAAUUCAUGUAAACUUAAAGUGAGGAAAAUAGUAACCAGAUUUAUUUAACUAAAUAACUAAAACUAAAAUAAAAAUUAAUAAAAAACUAUAUAGAUUUAAAAAAAAAAAAACUACUAUAAAAUGACAAAACAUACAACAAAAUUAGUAAGUCAAAAAGAAAAGGUAAAAUAUAAAAAAAACUGAUUCAAAAUAAUAUUGACUAUAAUAUUAUCCUAGUAUAAACUAAAAUGGUAUCUCGAUGAUACUAAAAUGACACUGAUAAAAGACAACGGAACAGACUGCUAUAAACCAUGUGUUCCCUGUGGAAAAGGCACGUUCUCCAGCACACCAUCUCUGGACGCCUGCAGUCCUCAUACAGAUUGUGCUCGGUUGGGAAUGAUAAUGCUCAAAGAGGGCACAGCGACGCAGGACAGUGAGUGUGUGAAUGCCACAACAGUGAAGCCAGCCUCGUCCACUACCACAGAUAUCAUUACUACCACCACUUUCAAUAGCACUUCCAUUCCCAUGACAGGUACUGACAAAACAUGACACUGCAUUCACUGUUGGAGGUGUUGUCUGUAUAUACCUUUUUUGGAAAUCCAUGUAUAAAAAAUAUUUGAAACUUAAAGUGAGGAAAAUAGUAACCAGAUAACUAAAUAACUAAAAAAAAAAAAAGUAAAACAACUACAUAUAUAUAUAUAUAUAUGUAUAUGUAUAUAUAAUAUAAAAAAGAUAAAAAUAAAAACUGAUUCAAAUUAUGAAUGACUAUAAUA